GCAGGACCAGAGAAGCACCAAGCUGUAGCACUUCGUGUUAGUGCAGAUCAAUCUGUCAUCAACCGUUGCCUUAUAGAUGCAUUCCAAGACACUCUCUAUGCACAUAACUAUCGACAGUUCUAUAGAGAUUGCUCCAUAACUGGAACAAUUGACUUCAUAUUUGGUAAUGCAGCUGUUGUUCUCCAAAAAUGCCAAAUUAUCGCUCGAAAGCCUAUGGCAAAACAGAAGAACAUGGUCACUGCACAGGGUCGUAUAGACCCAAAUCAAAACACUGGAACAUCAAUCCAGGACUGUAACAUUAUUGCAAGCCCUGACCUUGAAUUAGUACAAAAUUCCUUCCCUACAUAUCUUGGUAGGCCAUGGAAAGAGUAUUCGAGGACCGUGGUGAUGCAGUCUCACAUUGGUGGGCAUAUUGAUCCUGCAGGUUGGGCAGAGUGGAAUGGGGAUUUCGCAUUAAGGACUUUGUAUUAUGGUGAGUAUGCAAAUAGGGGGCCAGGCGCAGGCACUAGCAGGCGAGUGAAGUGGCCUGGUUACCAUGUGAUUACAGAUCCAAAUGAGGCCAGGAAAUUUACUGUUGCAGAGUUGAUACAAGGGGAAGCAUGGCUAAGUUCCACUGGAGUUUCUUACACUGAAGGACUAUAAUUGAAGAAAAACAUGUGCUACUCUCUCAGUUUCAGGC
Molecule: unclassified non-coding RNA, 679 nt
Filed under: Hevea brasiliensis (rubber tree)
Lineage: Eukaryota; Viridiplantae; Streptophyta; Magnoliopsida; Malpighiales; Euphorbiaceae
Source: RNAcentral